Molecule: ribosomal RNA, 455 nt
Filed under: uncultured bacterium
Lineage: Bacteria
Description: bacterial SSU rRNA
Rfam family: Bacterial small subunit ribosomal RNA
Source: RNAcentral
UUGGCUCAGAACGAACGCUGGGGGCAUUCCUAACACAAACAAGUUGAAAGAGGCCCUUCGGGGUUUAGUGGCGCGGGGGUGCGUGACGGGUGGGAAUUUCCCCUUUGGUUUGGAACAACAGCUGGAAACGGUUGGUUAUUCCGGGUGAUUACAGAUGAGUCCAAAGAUUUAUCGCCAGAGGAUGAGCCCGCGUUGGAUUAGGUAGUUGGUGGGGUAAAGGCCCCCCAAACCGGAGAUCCAUAGGGGGUUUGAGUGGAUGAUAAACCUCCCAGGGCCGGGGACCCGGCCCAGAUUCCUAUGGGGGGCAGCAUUGGGGAAUCUGGGGCAAUGGGAACAAGCCGGGCCCAGCAAUCCCGCGUGAGUGACGAAGGCCCCAGGGUUGCAAAUCUGUUUUACCCGGGAAGAUAAAGACUGUACCGGGAGAAUAAGCCCCGGCUUACUUCGUGCCCCCAGCC